This 205-nucleotide ribosomal RNA is filed under the name Artemia franciscana. RNAcentral describes it as "partial 5.8S ribosomal RNA". Lineage: Eukaryota; Metazoa; Arthropoda; Branchiopoda; Anostraca; Artemiidae. The record is from RNAcentral.
GUGAAAAAUAGUCAUAUUGGGGACUAGAGUGGCUCUGUGAUUCAAGGAUCAUGGAUACCACUCCGCGAGACUAAAGGGAGUGAAGGUGAGCUUGCCCCAACAGAGCAUGGCUUGAGGUGUGCAAGGGUGCAAUUGCAUUGGCCUUGUUUGAGGGAGAAUUUGAAACAUUCAUUAGAAUGACCCUGGAGGAUGGAUCACUUGGCAU